AGAGUUUGAUCCUGGCUCAGGAUGAACGCUGGCGGCGUGCUUAACACAUGCAAGUCGAGCGAAGCACUUUUAUCUGAUUCUUCGGAUGAAGAUAGUUGUGACUGAGCGGCGGACGGGUGAGUAACGCGUGGAUAACCUGCCUCAUACAGGGGGAUAACAGUUAGAAAUGACUGCUAAUACCGCAUAAGCGCACAGAACCGCAUGGUUCAGUGUGAAAAACUCCGGUGGUAUGAGAUGGAUCCGCGUUGGAUUAGCUUGUUGGUGGGGUAACGGCCUACCAAGGCGACGAUCCAUAGCCGGCCUGAGAGGGUGAACGGCCACAUUGGGACUGAGACACGGCCCAAACUCCUACGGGAGGCAGCAGUGGGGAAUAUUGCACAAUGGGGGAAACCCUGAUGCAGCGACGCCGCGUGAGCGAAGAAGUAUUUCGGUAUGUAAAGCUCUAUCAGCAGGGAAGAAAAUGACGGUACCUGACUAAGAAGCCCCGGCUAACUACGUGCCAGCAGCCGCGGUAAUACGUAGGGGGCAAGCGUUAUCCGGAUUUACUGGGUGUAAAGGGAGCGUAGACGGAAUGGCAAGUCUGAUGUGAAAGGCCGGGGCUCAACCCCGGGACUGCAUUGGAAACUGUCAGUCUUGAGUGCCGGAGGGGUAAGCGGAAUUCCUAGUGUAGCGGUGAAAUGCGUAGAUAUUAGGAGGAACACCAGUGGCGAAGGCGGCUUACUGGACGGUAACUGACGUUGAGGCUCGAAAGCGUGGGGAGCGAACAGGAUUAGAUACCCUGGUAGUCCACGCGGUAAACGAUAAAUACUAGGGGUUGGG
RNAcentral lists this ribosomal RNA (819 nucleotides) under uncultured bacterium. Its description in RNAcentral is "bacterial SSU rRNA". It matches the Rfam family "Bacterial small subunit ribosomal RNA", at positions 8 to 827 of the family's 1533-position model. The record is from RNAcentral.